GACCCAGGUGGACGCAGUUAUCAAUUGUCGAUACAAGAUUGAAAAGAAAAAACAAACGAAAAAACAAAACCGUGAAAUGUAUAGAAAAAAGGAAAUGUGGCAUGAUUGCCAAUAAUACAAUUCUCCAAAAGAGAUCAAAUGACACAGAACUUAACUUAUAUAGGUCACCGUACGGCCGUUUACAAUGAGUAAAGCCCAUACACCAUAGUCAGCUAUUAAAGGCCCCG
Molecule: long non-coding RNA, 227 nt
Filed under: Mytilus galloprovincialis (Mediterranean mussel)
Lineage: Eukaryota; Metazoa; Mollusca; Bivalvia; Mytilida; Mytilidae
Source: RNAcentral